Molecule: ribosomal RNA, 259 nt
Filed under: uncultured bacterium
Lineage: Bacteria
Description: partial 16S ribosomal RNA
Rfam family: Bacterial small subunit ribosomal RNA
Source: RNAcentral
UACGUAGGGGGCGAGCGUUGCCCGGAUUCAUUGGGCGUAAAGCGCGCGCAGGCGGCCCGCCCCGUCCCGUGUGAAAGCCCCCGGCUCAACCGGGGGCGGGUCAUGGGAGACCGGCGGGCUGGGGCCUGGGAGGGGGAAGCGGAAUUCCCGGUGUAGUGGUGGAAUGCGUAGAGAUCGGGAGGAACACCUGUGGCGAAGGCGGCUUCCUGGACCAGAGCCGACGCUGAGGCGCGAAAGCGUGGGGAGCGAUCCGGAUUAG